AUUGAACGCUGGCGGCAUGCCUUACACAUGCAAGUCGAACGGCAGCACGGGAGCUUGCUCCUGGUGGCGAGUGGCGAACGGGUGAGUAAUACAUCGGAACGUACCCUGAAGUGGGGGAUAACGUAGCGAAAGUUACGCUAAUACCGCAUAUUCUGUGAGCAGGAAAGAGGGGGGAUCGCAAGACCUCUUGCUUGAGGAGCGGCCGAUGUCGGAUUAGCUAGUUGGUGAGGUAAAGGCUCACCAAGGCGACGAUCCGUAGCGGGUCUGAGAGGAUGAUCCGCCACACUGGGACUGAGACACGGCCCAGACUCCUACGGGAGGCAGCAGUGGGGAAUUUUGGACAAUGGGCGCAAGCCUGAUCCAGCCAUGCCGCGUGAGUGAAGAAGGCCU
This 390-nucleotide ribosomal RNA is filed under the name uncultured bacterium. RNAcentral's name for it is "bacterial SSU rRNA". It matches the Rfam family "Bacterial small subunit ribosomal RNA", at positions 30 to 417 of the family's 1533-position model. The record is from RNAcentral.